ACAUAAACACAGAGUUAGCAUCACAAAAACAACAUUUUGGAAGUGAACUCUCAUUUUGUCUUGGGUUCAGAAGGACACGUUCACUUUGGCCCCUCCCCCACGAAGGCUAAACUCACUCAGCCAAUAGUCAACCAGGUGUUUGUGUAGGCUACAUACCCUCCCUCCAAAGAAUUCCAAUUAUACGCGUUACAACUUUAAAAUGUAACCGUGAGCUGGUUUAAUGACUCCAGACACAUGGCAGAAACACAGAAUAACAUUA
Long non-coding RNA from Sander lucioperca (pikeperch), 259 nucleotides. RefSeq lists it as uncharacterized. The transcript is spliced from 2 exons. The record is from RefSeq and is a predicted model, not a curated record. NCBI's taxonomy places the organism in Eukaryota, Metazoa, Chordata, Actinopteri, Perciformes, Percidae.